RNAcentral lists this ribosomal RNA (438 nucleotides) under uncultured bacterium. RNAcentral's name for it is "bacterial SSU rRNA". It matches the Rfam family "Bacterial small subunit ribosomal RNA", at positions 95 to 518 of the family's 1533-position model. The record is from RNAcentral.
GCGGCGGACGGGUGAGUAACACGUGGACAAUCUGCCCCCCGGCCCGGGAUAGCCCAGGGGAAACCUGGAGUUAAUACCGGAUGAGACGGGACCUGCGAUGGCGGGAUCCGGGAAAGGCGCUACGGCGCCGCCGGGGGAUGAGUCUGCGUCCCAUUAGCUAGACGGCGGGGUAACGGCCCACCGUGGCGACGAUGGGUAGCCGGCCUGAGAGGGUGGACGGCCACAUUGGAACUGAGACACGGUCCAGACUCCUACGGGAGGCAGCAGCUAAGAAUCUUCCGCAAUGGGCGAAAGCCUGACGGAGCGACGCCGCGUGAACAAAGAAGGCCGUGAGGUUGUAAAGUUCUUUUCGGGAGGGGGAACAACCGUGGCAGGGAAUGGCCGCGGGAUGACGUGAAUCCCGGAAUAAGCCCCGGCUAACUACGUGCCAGCCGCCGC